UACAGAGGUCUCAAGCGUUGUUCGGAUUCAUUGGGCGUAAAGAGCGCGCAGGCGGUCGUUCAAGUCGCGUGUGAAAGCCCCCGGCUCAACUGGGGAGGGUCACGCGAUACUGAUCGACUCGAAGGCAGGAGAGGGAAGUGGAAUUCCCGGUGUAGUGGUGAAAUGCGUAGAUAUCGGGAGGAACACCAGUGGCGAAGGCGACUUCCUGGCCUGUUCUUGACGCUGAGGCGCGAAAGCUAGGGGAGCAAACGGG
This 253-nucleotide ribosomal RNA is filed under the name uncultured bacterium. RNAcentral's name for it is "partial 16S ribosomal RNA". It matches the Rfam family "Bacterial small subunit ribosomal RNA", at positions 524 to 776 of the family's 1533-position model. The record is from RNAcentral.